UACGUAGGUGGCGAGCGUUGUCCGGAUUUACUGGGCGUAAAGGGAGCGUAGGCGGACUUUUAAGUGAGAUGUGAAAUACCCGGGCUUAACUUGGGUGCUGCAUUUCAAACUGGAAGUCUAGAGUGCAGGAGAGGAGAAUGGAAUUCCUAGUGUAGCGGUGAAAUGCGUAGAGAUUAGGAAGAACACCAGUGGCGAAGGCGAUUCUCUGGACUGUAACUGACGCUGAGGCUCGAAAGCGUGGGGAGCAAACAGGAUUAGAUACCCGGGUAGUCCCU
RNAcentral lists this ribosomal RNA (275 nucleotides) under uncultured prokaryote. RNAcentral's name for it is "partial 16S ribosomal RNA". It matches the Rfam family "Bacterial small subunit ribosomal RNA", at positions 524 to 798 of the family's 1533-position model. The record is from RNAcentral.